AACGAACGCUGGCGGCAUGCCUAACACAUGCAAGUCGAACGAGACCUUCGGUCUAGUGGCGCACGGGUGCGUAACGCGUGGGAACCUGCCUUUAGGUUCGGAAUAACUCAGAGAAAUUUGAGCUAAUACCGGAUAAUGUCUUCGGACCAAAGAUUUAUCGCCUUUAGAUGGGCCCGCGUUGGAUUAGCUAGUUGGUGGGUAAAGGCCUACCAAGGCGACGAUCCAUAGCUGGUCUGUGAGGAUGAUCAGCCACACUGGGACUGAGACACGGCCCAGACUCCUACGGGAGGCAGCAGUGGGGAAUAUUGGACAAUGGGCGAAAGCCUGAUCCAGCAAUGCCGCGUGAGUGAUGAAGGCCUUAGGGUUGUAAAGCUCUUUUACCCGAGAUGAUAAUGACAGUAUCGGGAGAAUAAGCCCCGGCUAACUCCGUGCCAGCAGCCGCGGUAAU
This 448-nucleotide ribosomal RNA is filed under the name uncultured bacterium. Its description in RNAcentral is "bacterial SSU rRNA". It matches the Rfam family "Bacterial small subunit ribosomal RNA", at positions 29 to 524 of the family's 1533-position model. The record is from RNAcentral.